Molecule: ribosomal RNA, 387 nt
Filed under: Sarsia sp.
Lineage: Eukaryota; Metazoa; Cnidaria; Hydrozoa; Anthoathecata; Corynidae
Description: partial small subunit ribosomal RNA
Rfam family: Eukaryotic small subunit ribosomal RNA
Source: RNAcentral
AUUCCAGCUCCAAUAGCGUAUAUUAAAGUUGUUGCAGUUAAAAAGCUCGUAGUUGGAUUUCGGAAUGGGUCAAUUGGUCCGCCGCAAGGUGAGUUACUGGUUGGUCUGUUCUUCUUCGCAAAGACUGCGUAUGCACUUUAUUGGGUGUGCGUAGGAUUUACGACGUUUACUUUGAAAAAAUUAGAGUGUUCAAAGCAGGCUAUCGCUUGAAUACAUGAGCAUGGAAUAAUGGAAUAGGACUUUGGUCUUAUUUUGUUGGUUUCCGAGACCGAAGUAAUGAUUAAUAGGGACAGUUGGGGGCAUUCGUAUUUCAUUGUCAGAGGUGAAAUUCUUGGAUUUAUGAAAGACGAACUUCUGCGAAAGCAUUUGCCAAGGAUGUUUUCAUUG